CCCAGCACACCUGGUGGUUAUGUUCGCGCCCGGGUUUUGGACCCUAAAAUCCGGGUGUGACAACUUGGGACUUCGAAAACUUAUAGAUAGUUAUGGAACCUGAGAGUCAUGGGGCUUCACUUUCUAUCCGUGUUUUUACUGAACACAGUUGGACAUACUUGGUAUCUGUUUUUUUCUGCUUAACAUCAUAUGUAUGAUCAACAAUUAUAGAAGGUAACAUUUCUGUUCAACACACUUCUGGAAUAAGAAUUUGUUAUUUUCUAGAAUUUUCAGUGAGCUUUAUAUAUGGUAGGUUAUCAAGAGCGAAACAAACUCAUAAGUUAAUUGUGCCAUUUACAUAAACUGUAGGCUCGAGACGUCCUUUCAACUUUUAUUCUUUGCUGCUCUUGUUUGUUUAUCUUGAAUGUAUGGUCAAUAGGAAUACAAAUGUUUAUUUGUAGUAUGCUUAAUAUACUUUUGGUAGGCAGUUCUUUCGACUUUCAAAUUUCCCCAAUGCGCAUGCACCAGAUAUUCCCCAAUGCGGGAGGUUUUGGCUUUAUGGAGACUUCAUGUUCAUCUCUUUUGUCAACUGCACCUGAGGAUCAACCCGCACUUAGUAUAUAUGGUCCCAUGCAGUCAGACAUUAGGUAUGCACACACUCUCUAAUGUCUGACUAGGUACGUGCCCAUGCACGGACAACUCACAAUUUGUAGCGUUAGGUACGUGCACACUCUCUAAUGUCUGGCAACAACAAUUAAUUUUAGUAGUGUGCAUCUUUGUAGUACGUGCACACUCUCUAAUGCCAGAUCUAGGAGUUCGACGCCUCCGCAAGAAAAACGACGACGUCGCCUGCGACACUGCACAACGGCUCAGUCGAGGCACCCAAUGCCCACCGGCACCAGUGAGAUGAGGCUUCAAAUUUGGGUUAGCUCCGCCACUGCCCGGGUGCGACUACGAGCACUGGCUCAUCGUGAUGGACAAGCUCGGUGGGAGGGCGCCACCAAGUAACAUAUGAUCGACUACUACAUCCAGACCCUCGCCAAGGUCCUUGGAAGGUACGUACAGCUUGUCCACCUCUGACCUUUUGAUGAACCAAUCGCCACCUGCCGUAGCAUUAGUAAAUGUUGUAUGUUCAUUCCCUGUGUAUGAUGUGUGGUGAUCCACUUACAAAACUGGAAAGAUUAUACAUGGUACUAGGUAAUGGAUUCUUUAAUGCAAAACCACUCAGCGGUAUUGCACUUUGCCAACUGUGCACUAUGCUAAUUGUGCCAACUAUGCACCUAUUUUACGGUAUUGCACUUUGAAAUCCAGCAUCUAUACUCAAAAUGCUUAAAAGCCAACAUAUUUUUUAAACAAUCAGCUAUUUAGUACAGUUGUUAUAGGUUACAUGCUUAAAAGCCAACAUAUUUUUUCCAACUUUUCUUCUUCAUUUUCUUAGAGGAGAGCUUCAUGUUCAUGGUAACCUGAAAUUCACUUGUAAAUAAAUAAAUAGGUGUGAUAUUUUCUCAUUAUUUUUCCAGUUGUAAAAUGAUGAAUAUUGGACUGCCAAGUUUUUUGUUGUUUGUUCUUAUGAGUUUAUAGUCUGUCGGGUAACGCAUACUUGAUAUUUUUGUUGUUUUGUCUCCAUGAGUUUAUAGUUUGCUAGAAUUUUUGUUGAUAUUUCUUGUGGUAAAUGCUGCCCAUUGAUUCAAUACACCUUGGCUUUCCCUGCCAUGUUACAUGAAAAUAAAUUAAA
This is a long non-coding RNA of Zea mays, 1714 nucleotides long. RefSeq lists it as uncharacterized. NCBI's taxonomy places the organism in Eukaryota, Viridiplantae, Streptophyta, Magnoliopsida, Poales, Poaceae. The transcript is spliced from 3 exons. The record is from RefSeq and is a predicted model, not a curated record.